RNAcentral lists this ribosomal RNA (300 nucleotides) under uncultured fungus. RNAcentral describes it as "eukaryotic LSU rRNA". Lineage: Eukaryota; Fungi. The record is from RNAcentral.
AACGCACCAUGCGCCCUUUGGUAUUCCGAAGGGCAUGCCCGUUUGAGUGUCAUUGUAUUCUCAAACCCACCCCUCGCUUUUCGUGAGUGCGGUCGGGUUUGGAUUUGGAGGUUUUUGCGGUAUUUCAAAUUGCUCCUCUUGAAUGCAUUAGCUCGAGCCUUUGUGGAUCAGCUUCGGUGUGAUAAUCGUCUACGCCGUUCUGUGAAGCAUAACUAUGGGAUUCGGCUUCCAAUAGUCCUUCACUGGACAAUAUCUUUGACCUUUGACCUCAAAUCAGGUAGGAUUACCCGCUGAACUUAA